UCUCGGAAAGCUGACUGUGCUCACACUAGCGGGAGCAGUGUAGAGCCAGUCAUCAAAGGAUCUUUGUCAACAAGGCGAUAAAGACCUUAAGGAUGGACAGAGUGGCAGUAAUCUGUUUAUUCCAUAAAGCUGUGGUUGCCUGGAUCUAAGCCAUCAGGCUGAUGGAUAGGUCCAGAGCAAGCCCAAGCACCUGGAUGUGGUGCUGGAGCCCCUGUCGGUCUCCGAAAGCUAACUGCUUUGCACACUUGAUAUUCAGUGUGGGGCAGUCCAAUAGGAUCAGGUCACCAAGAUCCUACGGGUGGGACAUAGUGGCAGGACUAUAGUCUCCGUAGAGCAGGGCAUGUCCAUAUGGCAAGUAAGAUGUGCGAGAUCCACGCUUUGGCUGCAUCACAAGCAUGAGUGCCAUGUCCUUCAGGGGAAUGUCUAACGUCAGGACAUUCACCGGGUCAGGGUUCCAAAGGGAGCGUGAUCUCACUCUGGAUAGAUGACAUAGCAAUGGGGAUCUUUGUUAUCUCAAGAUGGUUCAUUCAUUUCUCAAUUCGUUCCGUCCCUUCCUUGACAAUGUUUAACUCAUGGCACAGACAUGAAUCUGGUACAAGUUAAGCAAUACAGCAUCAUGAUUGGAGCGCCAGGUCUGUGUGGUCCAGGCCUGGUAAUCCAAUGGACCACCAUGUGUCAGACUGUUAUUGCUUGUAAAUCUUGUAUAGGGUGAUUGUUUGUGUCUUGAGUUGAAUACUUGGAGAGGAAUGGACGGAUCUAGUUGAGACUUGAAUUAGCCAUCUUGUGAUUUCCGAUAUCUUUAUUGCUUUGAAGUCUAUUUGGAGUCAAGGUUGCGUAAACUUGAAGAAUCCUGGCUAUAAGGAUGGACUGCCAUGCCCCACCAAACCUCAGACGGGAUCGGACGGGAACGGACGGGACCCAGACCAUCUUUUUCUCUUUUUUUU
Pecten maximus is the source of this 944-nucleotide long non-coding RNA. RefSeq lists it as uncharacterized. The record is from RefSeq and is a predicted model, not a curated record. Lineage: Eukaryota; Metazoa; Mollusca; Bivalvia; Pectinida; Pectinidae. The transcript is spliced from 7 exons.